This 494-nucleotide ribosomal RNA is filed under the name uncultured bacterium. Its description in RNAcentral is "partial 16S ribosomal RNA". It matches the Rfam family "Bacterial small subunit ribosomal RNA", at positions 28 to 507 of the family's 1533-position model. The record is from RNAcentral.
GACGAACGCUGGCGGCGUGCUUAACACAUGCAAGUCGAACGGAAAGGCCUGCCUUCCCUUGUGGAUUGCGGGUACUCGAGUGGCGAACGGGUGAGUAACACGUGAGUGAUCUGCCCCCAACUUGGGUAUAAGCCUGGGAAACUGGGUCUAAUUCCCGAUAGGACUGCAGGGUGGUGCCUGUGGUGGAAAACGAUUUUCUAGUGGUUGGGGAUGAGCUCGCGGCCUAUCAGCUUGUUGGUGGGGUAAUGGCCUACCAAGGCGGCGACGGGUAGCCGGCCUGAGAGGGUGGACGGCGACAUUGGGACUGAGAUACGGCCCAGACGCCUACGGGAGGCAGCAGUGGGGAAUAUUGCACAAUGGGCGGAAGCCUGAUGCAGCGACGCCGCGUGGGGGAUGACGGCCUUCGGGUUGUAAACUCCUUUCGACCGCGAGGAAGCCACCUGGUUGGAAGGGUGGUGACGGUAGUGGUAGAAGAAGCACCGGCUAACUACGUG